CGUAUAACGUCCCAGCCAGCAGACUGUUUACAAAUCGUGUCGUCAUGCUGCUUCACGUGGUUGCUAUGCUAAUCAUCACGCAAUCCCUUCUCAAAACCGUUACCACAGAAGCGGCUGAAGCGGAGUCUGUUAGGAUUCAUCUGUAGCUGUAGGGUUAGGAUUCAUCUGUACCUGUAGGGUUAGGAUUCCUCUGUAGCUGUAGGGUUAGGAUUCCUCUGUAGCUGUAGGGUUAGGAUUCCUCUGUAGCUGUAGGGUUAGGAUUCCUCUGUAGCUGUAGGGUUA
RNAcentral lists this long non-coding RNA (282 nucleotides) under Oncorhynchus kisutch (coho salmon). RNAcentral describes it as "lncRNA (ENSOKIG00005006098.1)". Lineage: Eukaryota; Metazoa; Chordata; Actinopteri; Salmoniformes; Salmonidae. The record is from RNAcentral.